Molecule: long non-coding RNA, 4198 nt
Organism: Scylla paramamosain (green mud crab)
Lineage: Eukaryota; Metazoa; Arthropoda; Malacostraca; Decapoda; Portunidae
Exons: 6
Source: RefSeq, a predicted model, not a curated record
UGGAGGAAGGAACCGGCUGCCCUGCUGCACAUUCCGACUCGUCGAGGCUCAGGUAGGGUGCCAGACCUACGCCAACACUCAUGGCCCCGUUGUUGUAGCGCUAUUAUGUCAGUGAACCAAGUAUUCCGUUGAAGUUCAGCAGGAGAGAACGGAGGAAAUCAAAAAAAGCCUGGAUUUUCACUGAACGAGAUGGUGACAUGGACAAUGGCUGCCUCUUAUGUACUGGUGCAAGGUUGGUGCCCAUCAGGGUGAGUUUAUGAUGUCCAGGAACCUGCUAAUAGGGGCCAGGAAGGACCAUAGUCUUGGUAACCCAUGUCAACUGAUCUGAGUCAGACGUGUGGAGUUGGUGUAUGAGUGACGCCUCCUACAAAUGCUUUGCCUUCAACAAGUUCAGUCUUAAUACAAAUAUCGAACCCACAUUCAUCAUUCACUGGAGUGAGCUGGCCGUGGCACCAGAAUGACAUAGAAGAAAUGAUCAGUGUGGUGACAAGGUACUGGAGCUAAACCUACUAUCCGUGUACACUGUGGGACUGUCCUGCCACCACCACCAGCAUCACCACCAUCACCGCAUUCAUCAGAACCCUCAGGUCAUCAACGCUCCUCGCUAAAAGGAGUUGCCGUGUAAGAUGAGCAACACUCGUAGUACAAGGAGGAGGAGCAGUGUAAGGAAGGUCUGCGCCGCCACCACCGCCUCUUUAAGGAAGCUGUCCAUGCGCAGACGGACGGGGAGUAAAGGAGUGCACGAAGCGAAAAUGACUCCAGAAGCAUAAUUAGCGGCGCUCACCUCAGCUGGGUCGGAGCCGUGCAGCGGAGACACGAGAACCCUGCGUGGCUUGUCAUUACCUCAGCGACGGAGUAAAUAUUGUGAAUAGAGUCCGAGCAGGAGCACGUGUGGAAUGCUACUUUUUACUCUUAACAUGCGGGAGAGACAGAUCGGAUCCGGGAGAGGAGGUGAAGGCUACGGUCCACUACACAGGUACUCACACCGGCACGUAGGACUGAGCACUAUAAAGCAAGGCAUUAUAUGGAGAAUCAACUUGGAACUUGAGCACCCGAGGGUCACGCAGGGUCCGCAGUUCACCCGCUGAGACGCCCAGUGAUGGAUGGGUCCACCUUCAGUUAGUGGGUCAUGAUUAAUGCGUCGGGGAAGAAAGUUCGCCUGUUAUUUUUAAUUACGUCACCCCGAAAAAGGGAACAUAAUAUGGCAGACGCGGAACUGGAACUAAUGGUCUGCGAGAUGCAGCCUGCCAGCGCUGAAGGGCUGCCUGCGUGCUUGUGGGGUCACGGCGCUGCAAGUGUGGCUAAGCGUUCAGGAUUGCCGGUGACAUGUUUACUGUUUUUCCUCCCUUUUUUAUUAUUUAUCAUCGUUGUAUGUUAUGUGUUUGCCGCAGGUGAAUGGGUGGCUGCCACUGGGGCAGGUGGGAGGGUACAGGUGGGUGGGUACCAGCCUGUGUUGUGCAUCGUCAAUUGUUGUGGUGAAGGGACAUGAUAUACAGACAAUAGAAAACGUUGUUAACACCACAUUAUGUUGUUCCUACGGUGAUACCAAUCAUAGGAGGCAACUUUAUACCUGACCUUGUUUAGAUUCACUGCCCUGCCUGGACGUUUCACCAUGAAGAAAACUCACGCGGCAUUCUCAGCAGUCUUAAAGCACCGUAACUUUGAACAUUUCCCUUGCACAUCCGGAAAGAGGAGAUCACAACCAUCUUUAUGUGCGAGUUUUCCUUCAUUGGCAAGAUUCUGUUUUUUGCGUGGCCUGAGGCUGCGGGAAUAGUGCGUGCUGGUGGUCCCGAUGACAGUUGUGGGAGUGCUUCGUGGAGGUCGUCUGGGGGAUGCUCCUCCGCAACGCUGCCAUGUCCGACAUCCUGUGAUGCCUGUGAUAAUUAAUGUUCUCUUGUCGCGCGUGAUCCCCAGUGACUCCUUAAGCCGGCGGGGCCAUUCCCUGUGAUAGCAUUCGUGAUUUAUGGACGCGGGCGUGAGAAGUAUUGUUUCCGAGUUGUGUCUUUUGAACUGCCAGUCCGCACUUCACUGCCCCACUGACAAGUAAUUUGUUUCUUCAUUCCCUGGACAACAUUCCCCCGGUGUGCUGUCAGGGUGAUGGCAGCGUGGCGUCACAACAGCAUGGGCCUGCCUUCCACUGCAGCAACUCACAUCCGCUUUUUUUUUUACCGAGUGGAUGUUUGCUAAUCUGAUAGUGCACGAGUAUUAAAACCAUUACAUUCUGCGCUGCUGAAAAAAAAAAAAGCUGAAAACGGAAAUGUUUAUGGUAGUAAUAUAUUGCUGAAGACAGAGGACUGAAGCCUUAACGCACUGUGAAGUCAAAUCACUGUACCUUUAUUGAAGACUGACAGAACCACGACGACAUGUCCCUGGCCUGAUAGGUUCUAAUACCCUUUGCCGCUAAACUCUCAACACUGGCUACCGGAAAGGAGAAACAGAAAGUAAUUCCUCACAUAACACAUACAAUUCAACAAUCCUUUCCUGUCUUACGAUAUGCGUGGCCCAGUUAAGGAGGACAUAAUGUGCAUCAUCCCACUCCUCACCUCUACAUCAACAGUGACGUCUUCUGCUAAGUACUACAUCACUCUCACCUCACCUCUUCCGCUCUUCCACAGCCUCACCUCAUAAUGUCCAUUUUUUCCUAAGCUCGUGGGCCUCCAUGCACAAUCUGUUUUCCACAAAGCCUUUACCUCAUUUACCUUUUCCUCCUUACCUCUCCUCACAAGCUUCCCGCUCUCCUUCUUCCCAUCCAUUACCCCAGUACUCCACCUUCUCAAUCCUUUCCCCCUGCCUCCCCUUCUCCCCACCCACCCACGACGCGCCAGCCAUCAAUCUCGCCUCCUCCACGACGUGCUAAUGACGCCUUCGCCACGACUGCGCCACCUCCACCCUGACUCGUUCGAUUACCUCUUGACCCGACACUCUUGCCCUCGACACCGUCUCUCUCUCUCUCUCCCUUCCUCCCUCAGUGGAGCUAAUGGUGUGCUCUCUCUCUCUCUCUCUCUCUCUCUCUCUCUCUCUCUCUCUCUCUCUCUCUCUCUCUCUCUCUCUCUCUCUCUCUCUCUCUCUCUCUCUCUCGGCCUGAUCUUCCUUUCUUCCCCUGAUCUUACUAUUCCCUCUCCUGAUUCUUCUCUUCCCCUCGUAAUCUAGCUUUCCUCCACUCCUGAUCGCACUCUUUCCCUCUCAAUCUUACUCUCUUUCUUCUAGACCCACUCCCUUCCCUCCUGAUCCCACUACUCUCUUUUGAUUCCACUCUCUCCCUCUCUGAUCUUUCUCCAGCCUACUCGACGUUUCAUCUUCCCUCUGCUUGGCUAUAAGUAAGUCUAACAGACACCUGAAGAAAAGUAUUAAUUCGUGUGGUCUAUAUUCAAGAAGCACGUCACCUUUUGUCAUGCGAAGAUAAAUUGGAGCUGGAAAUAAGAAGACUGCAAAGGAGAACCACGGUUUAGUGAAUAAUACCCUGCAACAUAUGUUUCUUGUGUUUCUUUCUUUCGUUACUGGUUGAAUAAGUACAUACACGACAGAGCAUCGUCGUAGUGUAGCUUUGUGAACACCCUUGCCUCUUCCCUUCACUUGUCGUGGUCUUCUUUCCUUAUCUGGAAAGCUGUGAUUCAUUUUAAUUACCGCCAAGGGUUCUCCCCCGCGCUCAUUCAGGCUAAAGGGAAGUGAUAAAACAGCGCAUCUUUGUGAGUGUUCUGUUAAUUUCCCUGUCCCUUCCUCACGUCAGCUGGUGUGCACUAAGACGCCAUCUCUCUCCAAUAGCCGUAGCCUGCCGUAGCCUGCUCCUCCCUCCCGUUGAGCGGCGCGGCGUAGGCGAGCCAUCAUCGCAUUAGUAUGCAUCUCUUCUCGGGAGGAUUCUCGUUCACAGUCCGUGUUAACACACUCGCCACUCUUUUGUCUUCACUCUCUCCCUUAUGCUCAUUUGCAUUCCCCUCACCGUGCUCUCCCCUAUUGCUCUAAAUUUAAGGGUUAUGGUAACAAGAAGAGUUAUACACAGGUAUAGAUUACCUUGUCGCUCCUGGUGAGUCGUCUGCUUCAACACCUUGCCCUUCCUUCUGAUGGUUCAGUGACACGUUCUUCCAUCUUGGUAUAAGUGUUAUUUUUACUGUUGUUCAUAUUGUAGAUUUGUUUCAAAUAAAUGUUGCACUUUAAUGGUUUUCAAAGUAAUAUUAGGCAAGUAAUAAAUCUCUGAGAUAAA